GGCGCGGGAUCUCCGCCGGUGGUCGGUUCUCGCGAGUUCCCUGUCCCGUCUGGUGCCGCGAGAUUCCUUUCUGAGGCGGCAGGUCUUCGAUCUUCCUUUGAGUGGUUGCUGGCUGCACCUGGGGUGUGACGAGCCGUGGGACCCAGCUCUGAGGAAAAAGUAAAGCAUACCUGGGAGAGUGGUGAACAGAUGGAUGUGGGAGAAAAUCAUGUCAUUUUUCAAUCUAAAGAGCUGGCUAAGACAACUCUGCUUCUCACCUUCCUUCAAUAACCUCAAAGCUGGUCCUAAAUACUUCUGCCUGCUGGUCCAAACUUUGUUGGUGAAUGGAAUCAACUGCAGAACUCUUUACCUUUUAGAAGGUGAGAAAGCUCACUGAUUACCAAGGGUCAUAUUGGCCAUGCAUUUAGGCAAUAAAUUGGAUUGGAUGACGUACGCAUCCACUGUCAACUCAUUAUCUUGAAGUGAAAUGUUUCCCACUUCAGAGUCCAGGAGUCCACGCAAAUAAAGGGGAUGAAAGUCAGGUGGACUGACUCAGCUGGAGAAAGGAGCCGGAACAGGGUAAAAGGGAGGACCGAGAAGCAAAGGACACGAGUCUGAGUGCGGGAAGGGUGCCAGGAAGCAGACUCCAAACCCGGAAAGAGAAAUCUGGUACUUAGGUUUGGGGUAAAGAGGGGUAAAUGAGAUCUGUGUUGCCGGAUUCCUAGCCUGGGAGAUGAAUUUACCUCGGGCUGCCUGGACAGGACGCCUUGUGAAAGGACAUAGAACACACGCUGUUCCUUACCUGCUGCCUAAGUCCACGGCCACGGCUCGGAACCUCGCGCCACCCCAUAGUGCUCGCACCUGCAACUGGGUGAGCGCCCGAUCCCGCCCUGGCAAACGACGGGGACCAUUGCAAAGCGGCCGAAGUCGGAGGCACGAGCAGCAAUGCCUGCAGGCCGCCAUGACACCCGGCACGCGAUCACCCCGGGCUGCACCUUGAUUGGCUCACUCUGCUGACGGCGGGGCGGAGCCUGGUGCAGUUUCGUUUCCGUGGUGGCUGGGCGGGGGAAGGCGGGGAAGCGGAUACCUUGGUCGCUUUCUACGAAGCCUAGAAAGGGUCAAACCUAUCUGAACGCAAUUGUGACAACUUAUCUUUCCUAUUUAAGUAUCUGCCACUGAAAGGCAAUUGGAAAGUUAAUGCCUUUUAUGUAUGUGUGUGCUAUCGUUAUUUAAAAGAAAGUCCUAGAAUAAUGCAAAUGUUGAAUAAGUAGGGUAAAUAUAGUAAUAAUAGAAGUCAUCAGACAAAACAUUAUUUGGCUUCUGUAAACUGGAAAUUAGAGGAGAAUCUAUGUAGUGGACCAUGGGAAGAGAUCUCUCUCUCCUGUCCUUUGCCUUGGCUUUUAUUUUAUAAAUUUCACACAAAUAUUACUGAAAAGAUUUGUGUUAAUUUAUUUCUAGUAAGUUAAUUUCAGUUCUUAUUGAUCUAUAUCACCAUUUUAGAUCUUUGACAUUAUUUGUUAUUCAUUUUCGUUUCCAUUGUUAAUAUUUAGCAAUUCAUUUCUUUGCCCCUUUUGAUCAAGUGUUAUUAUUUUUUAAACUAACUCUUAUUAAAUGCAAAAUGCCAGCUACUAUUUAAAAGAAAUGUUUUGGAAAAUGAAAAAUAGUGUUUGAAAUUUGAAUUUGAUAAAUUUUCAGGGAGUAAAUAAAUCUCUCCCACCCCUCUUAAUCCUGUUAGAACAUCUUCAUAUGGUUCCUUGAAUGAAUCAAUGAUAAUUUUUUUAUUAUGAGGGUCAUAUUUCUCUUUUAAGAUCAUAACCUCCUUCCUCCAAAGAAAUCCAAACAACAAAAUCCAACAUACAUUCAAACAUGGUUUUAAGAACUAAAAAUGUUGAACUUCACACAGACAAAUGAUUUAGUGGCAAAGCAGCUCCCUGACACCUUGGUUUCCAUGAGAUAUUAGCACAGAUUUGGAAUUUCCAUGUCAAUAGAAGGAAUUACUACUAAAUCUGCUAGGGAUAUUUAGUGUUAAAGAAGUUUUUUGCCUCUUCCUCUACAUUUGACUUUACCCCCUGUUGCUACAGUGUUUUCUAGACCAAUCUAUUGAAACCUGUCCUAAUGACAAAUCUAUCAUAAUCUACUUGCCAUAAUACAACAUGAUCUUGAAUUUAUAGAAUAAGAAUACUAAAAUCACCUUUUGCUAAAGCACUUAAGUACUAUUUAAUCAUUUCAUUCAGGUGGUGUUGCCUAAUAGUUCGGAGCAUAAACUUGAAGUGAGUCUUGAGUGGUCCCAAUCUUAGCUCUGCCAUUUAAUAGUUGUCUGACCCUAUCUCUCUAAGCCUCAGUUUCCUCAUUUAUAGAUAUGGAUAUUAAUAUGAAUCUCAUAGGGUUUUUGUAAAGAUUAAAUGUGACAGAGCAUGUAAGAUGUUUAUCACAGUACCUGCCAACAUUGUCAGCGCUCAAUAAAUGGUAGAUUCACCUUUGA
Callorhinus ursinus (northern fur seal) is the source of this 2461-nucleotide long non-coding RNA. RefSeq lists it as uncharacterized. The record is from RefSeq and is a predicted model, not a curated record. Lineage: Eukaryota; Metazoa; Chordata; Mammalia; Carnivora; Otariidae.